Molecule: ribosomal RNA, 497 nt
Filed under: uncultured bacterium
Lineage: Bacteria
Description: partial 16S ribosomal RNA
Rfam family: Bacterial small subunit ribosomal RNA
Source: RNAcentral
GAUGAACGCUGGCGGCGUGCCUAAUACAUGCAAGUCGAGCGAACAGACGAGGAGCUUGCUCCUCUGACGUUAGCGGCGGACGGGUGAGUAACACGUGGAUAACCUACCUAUAAGACUGGGAUAACUUCGGGAAACCGGAGCUAAUACCGGAUAAUAUAUUGACCCGCAUGGUUCAAUAGUGAAAUACGGUUUUGCUGUCACUUAUAGAUGGAUCCGCGCCGCAUUAGCUAGUUGGUAAGGUAACGGCUUACCAAGGCAACGAUGCGUAGCCGACCUGAGAGGGUGAUCGGCCACACUGGAACUGAGACACGGUCCAGACUCCUACGGGAGGCAGCAGUAGGGAAUCUUACGCAAUGGGCGAAAGCCUGACGGAGCAACGCCGCGUGAGUGAUGAAGGUCUUCGGAUCGUAAAACUCUGUUAUUAGGGAAGAACAAAUGUGUAAGUAACUAUGCACGUCUUGACGGUACCUAAUCAGAAAGCCACGGCUAACUACGUG